RNAcentral lists this ribosomal RNA (468 nucleotides) under uncultured bacterium. RNAcentral describes it as "partial 16S ribosomal RNA". It matches the Rfam family "Bacterial small subunit ribosomal RNA", at positions 38 to 507 of the family's 1533-position model. The record is from RNAcentral.
GAAGAAAGAGGGAGGAGGGAGGAACACAGGCAAGUCGAACGGAAAGGCCCUGCUUUUGUGGGGUGCUCGAGUGGCGAACGGGUGAGUAACACGUGAGUAACCUGCCCUUGACUUUGGGAUAACUUCAGGAAACUGGGGCUAAUACCGGAUAGGAGCUCCUGCUGCAUGGUGGGGGUUGGAAAGUUUCGGCGGUUGGGGAUGGACUCGCGGCUUAUCAGCUUGUUGGUGGGGUAGUGGCUUACCAAGGCUUUGACGGGUAGCCGGCCUGAGAGGGUGACCGGCCACAUUGGGACUGAGAUACGGCCCAGACUCCUACGGGAGGCAGCAGUGGGGAAUAUUGCACAAUGGGCGGAAGCCUGAUGCAGCAACGCCGCGUGCGGGAUGACGGCCUUCGGGUUGUAAACCGCUUUCGCCUGUGACGAAGCGUGAGUGACGGUAAUGGGUAAAGAAGCACCGGCUCACUACGUC